Mercenaria mercenaria is the source of this 4688-nucleotide long non-coding RNA. RefSeq lists it as uncharacterized. The record is from RefSeq and is a predicted model, not a curated record. The transcript is spliced from 2 exons. Lineage: Eukaryota; Metazoa; Mollusca; Bivalvia; Venerida; Veneridae.
UUGAUGUCCAACGCAAUGUAAUGUUAUGCUGCAGAUAUCGCCGUAGUGUACAACACGGGACAAUCGUAUUUGUAUAGUUUUAAUUUUCUUUAUUCGUACUCGGUCAUUUUCGACCCAGUAAUAUAGUUCACUUGGUGCUAGAGAUGUAUUUGCUGUUCAUGGGAGAUUCUCAUAGAGCUCAGUUUGAGACGUAUAUUUAUCAACUGCAAAGAUAUGAUCUGUUUAAUAUUGAUUCGGCAAUUGACGUGAAGUUCUGUGGAAUUAGUGGCGGUUGUUUAACAAACUCGAACCAUGUCCUGUUCUUUCAAGAUUGAUUAGUGAAGCACCAUCCUGACUAUGAUGUCAUGUUCAUUGGUGGUAACGACAUUGAUUAACCAGGCUCUACUGCAAUAAAUGCAGAGACCAUAGCAUCACGAAUUGUUUCAAUUGCUAAACUUUUCUUACGUCGCUACAAUCCGAAACAUAUCUUUAUUUGCCAAUUUAUUCUGAGGCAACACACCCGCCACAUCCCAGUGUACAUAUACAAUGAUUUAAUUAUUACUGAGAGAAGCAAACAGGGUGUUUAAGCAAGAACAUGGAAUAUUUAACGUACUGGAAUUUGAAAGAAAUGAAACAUUCUAAUGCUAACAUUUUACAGAUAGAUGGUGUUCUUUUCAACAACCUAGGAUUUGAAAUUUUUCCGCAAUGUGAGAGGAAUAAUUUUGAAGUGCAUUGCAGAUAUGUAAUUCACACAUGUACUGGAAGAUACUGUAUUCUAAUUGGUGGCACAUUUGUAUCUAUAUUAUCAUAUAACAGUAAGUAUAGACAUAGUAAGUAUAUUAGCCGUCAUAUAUAUCUGAUAUAUGAUAGAACCAAACCCAUAUUGGGUCCAUUUCAGUUAGAUAAACAAGACUUUCUGCAGGCUUAUGAACAUGGCAGAUCUUGUAUAUCACAAAUUUUCUAUCCGUUUGUGGUAAAAGACUAAAUGUAGUUAAAUGGAUUAAUAGAAUUAUAAAGUCUAAACACAUUGUCUGUAUUUGUUUAUAUAGUUUAAAUGUAGUUAAAUGGACUACUAGAAUUAUAAAAUCUAGACAUAUUGUCUGUAUUUGUUUAUAUUCUGUUCCACUAUAUAAAUAAUGGUUACAGACAAGUAAUCUGCAGUCAAAUACACCGCAAGUUGUCAAAUAUACAAAAAAUGAUUGUUUUUGACAGCUGUCUACAUUUAUGUAAUCACAUGGGCUGCAUGGAGUCAAAUGGGCUACUAAGUCUAUGUUACUCAGAUAUUUUGUCCGUAUUGAUGUAGUCAAAUGGACUACAGUGUAGUCAGAUGGACUACUUUGUAUAGUCAGAUGGACUUCUUCGUAUUGUCAAAUGGACUAUAUGUAGUCAUAUGGACUACUUUAUUUAGUCGAUGAAUUAUUUUUACUGUAUGGUUAAACACAAGAUGACUGUCAUACUCUUAAAAUGUUACAAGAAGAAAUUGUUGUAAAUACAGUAUUUCUCGUGGAAGUUGAUCUUUACAUGCUCUGGUAUAUGGUUUUCUAUUUCAUGUGCCACCAAGACAGCGAAGCUGCUGCAGCUGAGGAAGCUGCUAAAACCAAACGAAGAGCAAACCAAAUUGAGAUGGUUUCAGAAGCUAACACAAGUAUAUCAAAUGUUGUUCCUGCUGUCACACAAGGUAUAUUGUAGGUUUUAAAAGACUUGAAGGUACUACCGCCUGACAAUACUCAGAACCAAAACUUCGGAAAAGAACAGAUACCUUUGGAAUCCACACAAAGCACUUCAACAUCUGCUCCAACACCAACUUUGGCAGCUUCAGAAAUGAAUCAAAAUUCUGCCACAUUUUUGCGUCCACUUUUUUCUUGGUAUUGAUGAAAAAAUCAAAGCUAAGAUUGUAUCAGAUCAGUUUGUGGAGUUAGAUUCCUAUAAGAUAAAGGUAAUUAUCAAUAUCAGUUAGUCGAAAAUGGCAGUGAGGAACCCUCGUUCAAAAAAGUUUUAAAUCGUCGACCAGUAUAAAAACGCUAGAUCAAGGGUUUAAUACAUUUCAUAUUUUUACAAGUGUUUACACAGACAGACACCCAACAUCUGCUGCUACUUUAAUGAAACAUUGCGACACAGUUCAUAAACUUGCAAAGCAAUCGGGGGAUUCCGCUGCCAUUAUUUACGAUAGACAAUUUCGUCUCUUAAAAGAAGCUAGAUUGGCUUCGAUUUCGUAUGGGGAAAUCGAUACCCAGUUGUACACACAGGCACUGGCCAUGGGGUUAAUUAAACCAAAACAAAAAUAGUCCUUUCUUGGCGCAAGAUCACAUCAAAACAAACCUUGUUUUGAUUUCAACAACGGGUCUUGUGCCAGAAAAUCGUGCACCUUUCAGCACAGAUGUCAAAAGUGUCCCGGUCCUCAUGGACGAAUUGUAUGUUUUAAAAAGGUGCAAUCAAAUUUCAAGUCAAAGAACUGAUAACGAAACCCUAUGCAUGGUGCCUGCAGUCUUAAAUAAGGCUACUUUUCAUAUUGUUACACCAAUUAAUUCUGAUAACCUACGAUACUGGCUCCAAGGUACGACUUGAAAUUAACUGAAUAUUUGGUGAAUGGUUUCACAAAGGGCUUUAAAAUACCUUUUACAGGUACUCAUUCUAAUAAAUUUCCUGCGAGUUUCAAAUCUGAGACUGAAAAUUUAGAGGGCACAAAAUCACUGUUGAAAUUGAUGCGGGUCGUGUUCAGGGUCCUUUCAAUGAACCACCUUUUAGCAACUUUAUGACCUCACCUCUGGGUGUAGUACCAAAUCAGGAACCCAGUGAAUUUCGUGGAAUACAUCAUUUAUCAUUUCCAGAAGGUCAAUCUGUUAAGGCUGGAAUCCCAUUUGAAUUGUGCUCUGUUCAGUAUCAAAAUAUUGAUGAUACAGUAGAUCUUCUGAAAACUAUUGGACCUGGUGCGCUUCUGUCAAAAUUGAUGGCCAAAAUGCAUUUAAAAUAAUUUCAAUUCAGUUGUAGGCUUGGUAAAUAAACAAACAACUCAGGACCUAAGUAGUAUAUGCCUUGUCAGACUAUUAGUUCUAUAAUGUUUGAAAAAUAACUUUUUGUUUUAAGACACGCAUCUUAAAAGCAUUGCAAGGUUAUCAUAAUUUAGUUCCUAAAACAGACACACGUUUGCCAAUUGCAUAACUUAAUACGGUCAAUGGACGUCGUUUGCAAUUCGCAAUUCCUACGUAUACUGCUAACAGUCAUGUAUUUAUUGACAUUUCAUGUUUCCUUCGAGUUGGAGAAUUUACUUCUCCCUCUCCUGACUCGUAUAUUAUAGUAGUAGAACAUGUAUAUAUAACAUUCAAUCGACUUGGUUUUGAAAAGCUAUAAAUAUAGUCGAGGCAAGACCCAUAAACUGUAUAUAUCAUGUUAUCACCAUGAAUUAAAUAUGUGCCCAUUGCAUGCAUUGUACUCGUAUUAUACAUUAAGUAACGCCCCUCCUGGCCCACUAUUUUCGUUUUUGAUAAUAAUCCAGUGACAAGAUCUUUCUUUUGUACCAAGCUUCAAAUGUCACUCACUCGGAUAGGUUAUAGUACUGACUUUUACAAAGGUCAUAGUUUCCGCAUUGGUGCGGCAUCGCAGAGAGGUUUCUGGGGAGUUUCAGAAGAAAAUAUCGACCUUUGGGCAGGUGGUUUUCAAACGCUUAUAAAAUGUAUAUUCGCAUUUCUAUGGUAGAACAAUUAGAUGGGGUCAAAGCUCCAACAAUAUAGGUACAUCAUGGUCACAAAUGUGAUGGGGUCAAGGGUCUCUCACCUUGUGAUUAUCAUGUUAACAAGUAUUCUUCAGUUAUCCUCUUAAAACAAAUAUCAGUAUUGGAUUUUAGAAAUCAUACACCUUUGUUUGGGGUGGAUGACUUUUAUCAAGUUAAUAUCUAGUUUUCUUAUGUUUGUAAUUCUUAUUGCUAAUGGUGCGAUGGGGUCAUGGGUCUCUCGCACUUAAGUUAUCAUGUUACAUGUACAUAAAGUUUAUUAGUAGGCAAUUUUGCAUGUUGUUAUGAGUUACUGAUAUUUUUCUUGUGUGAUGGUGCCAAGGGAUGCUUACCUCUAUUUUGUCAUGUCAAAUAUACAUGUACCAUUUUCUACAAUUUCUGCAUGUUAGAGGGUGUAACACUUUAACAAGUAUUCUUCUGUUAUCCUCUUAAGACAAAUAUCAGUAUUGGAUUUUAGAAAUCAUACACCUUUGUUUGGGGUGGAUGAUUUUUAUCAAGUAAAUAUUUAGUUUUUUUAUGUUUAUAAUUCUUAUUGCUAAUGGUGCGAUGGGGUCAUGGGUCUCUCGCACUUAAGUUAUCAUGUUACAUGAACAUAAAGUUGAUAUUUUGCUUGAGUGAUGGUGCAAAGGGUUGCUCACCUCUAUUUUGUCAUGUUACAUAUACCAUUUUCUACAAUUUCUGCUUUUUAGAAGGUGUAACACAUGAGUAAGCUGUUGAUAAAUAAAUGAUACACUCACUUUCUUCGGAUGGGGUUAUUGCUAAUAACUUAAUAAACGAAAUCCAUUUAUUAUGUUUUUGCAAUAUGUGGCAUAAAGGUUAGAUCCCCACCUUUGAUGAUGCAUAUCAACUGUUAAUAUUUGUCUUUUCUUGAUAAAAUUAGUCACCUAUCACAUAUUAUGUAUGAUGCUGUAACAGAACCAUUUAUUGUUAAUUGUGUUUUCAAAUUCGUCAUUUAGAUAUUAAAUGACAGAUUUCAAUCAAA